ACAGUCACACAUUAGAUACCCGGGUAGUCCCAGCCGUAAACUAUGCUCGCUAGGUGUCAGGCAUGGCGCGACCGUGUCUGGUGCCGCAGGGAAGCCGUGAAGCGAGCCACCUGGGAAGUACGGCCGCAAGGCUGAAACUUAAAGGAAUUGGCGGGGGAGCACAACAACGGGUGGAGCCUGCGGUUUAAUUGGACUCAACGCCGGACAACUCACCGGGGACGACAGCAAUAUGUAGGCCAGGCUGAAGGACCUUGCCUGAAUCGCUG
Molecule: ribosomal RNA, 266 nt
Filed under: uncultured archaeon
Lineage: Archaea
Description: partial 16S ribosomal RNA
Rfam family: Archaeal small subunit ribosomal RNA
Source: RNAcentral